AGCAGCCGCGGUAAUUCCAGCUCCAAUAGCGUAUAUUAAAGUUGUUGCAGUUAAAAAGCUCGUAGUUGAAUUUCGGGAUUGACACAUCGGUCGUGCCUUAAGGGGUAUGAACUGGUGUAGUCAAUUUCUCACCUUCUGGAGAACCGCGAUGCCCUUAAUUGGGUGUCGCGGGGAACCAGGACCUUUACUUUGAAAAAAUUAGAGUGUUUAAAGCAGGCAUUUUGCUUGAAUACAUUAGCAUGGAAUAAUAAAAUAGGACGGCAUGAUUCUAUUUUGUUGGUCUCUAGGAUCACCGUAAUGAUUAAUAGGGAUAGUUGGGGGACAUUAGUAUUCAAUUGUCAGAGGUGAAAUUCUUGGAUUUAUUGAAGACUAACUACUGCGAAAGCAUUUGCCAAGGAUGUUUUCAUUAAUCAAGAACGAAAGUUAGGGGAUCGAAGACGAUCAGAUACCGUCGUAGUCUUAACCAUAAACUAUGCCGACUAGGAAUCAGACGAUGUUAAUUUUUUAAUGACUCGUUUGG
This 520-nucleotide ribosomal RNA is filed under the name uncultured Entrophospora. RNAcentral describes it as "SSU rRNA". It matches the Rfam family "Eukaryotic small subunit ribosomal RNA", at positions 569 to 1083 of the family's 1831-position model. Lineage: Eukaryota; Fungi; Glomeromycota; Glomeromycetes; Entrophosporales; Entrophosporaceae. The record is from RNAcentral.